Taeniopygia guttata (zebra finch) is the source of this 299-nucleotide non-coding RNA. The record is from RefSeq and is a predicted model, not a curated record. Lineage: Eukaryota; Metazoa; Chordata; Aves; Passeriformes; Estrildidae.
GGGGGGGGACGUUCCCGAGGGACGGCCGCGCGGAGCCGGUGCAGGCGGGCGCGGUCGGUGCGGGGGUUCCUUCCCUUGUUCCCAUGGCGACACAGACAGAGAGGGUGAGCAAGAGAGAGGGGCGCAGCCAUCCUAACGCAGGCAGAAGCGGGGUUUGACUGCACCAGAAAUGCUCCCAGUGCUCUCAUGCCGCGGCAAACAAAAAAAAAAUCACAACAGCCACAGCAAACAAUCUUUUACAAGCAGCAAAUAUCCUACAGCAAUGCUGAGGGAUGAGACUCCCAACUUUCACCCUGAAA